GAUGAACGCUGGCGGCGUGCUUAACACAUGCAAGUCGAACGGAAAGGCCCAAGCUUGCUUGGGUACUCGAGUGGCGAACGGGUGAGUAACACGUGGGUGAUCUGCCCUGCACUUCGGGAUAAGCCUGGGAAACUGGGUCUAAUACCGGAUAGGACCACAUUUUGGAUGGUGUGGUGGAAAGUUUUUCGGUGUGGGAUGAGCUCGCGGCCUAUCAGCUUGUUGGUGGGGUAAUGGCCUACCAAGGCGUCGACGGGUAGCCGGCCUGAGAGGGUGUACGGCCACAUUGGGACUGAGAUACGGCCCAGACUCCGACGGGAGGCAGCAGGGGGGAAUAUUGCACAAGGGGCGCAAGCCUGAUGCAGCGACGCCGCGUGGGGGAUGACGGCCUUCGGGUUGUAAACUCCUUUCGCUAGGGACGAAGCGUUAUGUGACGGUACCUGGAGAAGAAGCACCGGCUAACUACGUG
Molecule: ribosomal RNA, 466 nt
Filed under: uncultured bacterium
Lineage: Bacteria
Description: partial 16S ribosomal RNA
Rfam family: Bacterial small subunit ribosomal RNA
Source: RNAcentral